Long non-coding RNA from Equus quagga, 5684 nucleotides. RefSeq lists it as uncharacterized. The record is from RefSeq and is a predicted model, not a curated record. NCBI's taxonomy places the organism in Eukaryota, Metazoa, Chordata, Mammalia, Perissodactyla, Equidae. The transcript is spliced from 4 exons.
GUGCCAUGUCCGCACCCAGGAUCCGAACCUGAGAAACCCCAGGCCACCACAGUGGAGCGCAUGAACUUAACCACUCAACCACGGGGCCGGCCCCUCAGAAUUGAAUUAAAUUCUAGGACACCUGGCUGGUGUGGCAAAGAAUUGCUUGGUGUGGAAAACGCACACACCUGGCUUCAGAAGAGAAGGAAAGCAUCAUGUGUGAGUGAGGGAGACGCAGAGGGAACUGUUCCUACAGUGGGGGCGGGGUCUGAGGGUCAGCGUGGGGCUAGGAUGGGGGCCUCUGGAUCAGGGUGGGGCCAGGGGUGGAAUCCUGGGCUCUGCCCCCAACUCCCUGUGUGACUUUGGGCAGGUUGCUACCCCCACCACUCUGGUCCUUGGUUCAUAAGAUGGUUGGGUAGGGAGGUGUGUGGGAAAUGCUUUUGGUUUUGAUUAUAAAAUAUCACUCAUCUAAAGCACAUCUAUAGGCAACUUAAAGAAAAGAGAAAGAACGCCUAUGUUAAGCACACCUGGCUUAAGAAAUAACGUUCCCAGGACCUUUGAAGCCCCUACAGGCACUGCCCCAUCCUGUCCCCUCCCCAGAGGUAACCGCUUUCUCAAAUUUGGUUUUCCUCCUUUGCUUUGCUUUGCUUUCUAUGUACAAACCCCUCGGACAAUGCUGCGUUCGUUCUGCACGUCCACGGAACCGAGCUCCAGGCAUUCUGAGAGUCGCCUGCACUGCCCAGCACGUCGUCGGGGACCCGUCCACAUAGACGAGGGCACACAGGGUUCCGCGUGUGCCGUCCCUCAGCGUACUCACCCUGUCUCCUGUUGAUGCAACUUUGGGUUGUUUCUACUUUGGGGUCUUCCUCGGUUUUGAUCUAUUUUUGCUGUUUUGCCCCCGCCUCGUGGUGCUCGUUGCACCGCUGUCUCCCGGUUGCACAUCUUGGAGAAAUUACCGAGUCGGGGGGACAUGUGCCUUCACCUUCCUGCACAACAUCAAAGUUACUCCCAAGGGGUUCUUCCUAUGUCCAUUCCCACAGCAGAAGAUAAGUGCUUUCUGUCCGGUAUCCAUGAUGACACUUUGUUUCCUCAGAUCUUUUCAUUUUUGCUGGUCCAGUCAUUGUGAAAAACAAAACCAGACAAACCACCAAAAUCUGACAACGAAUGGGGUCGGGCUUCUUGCAGAAGCUUGCGGGUUGUGACUCUCUUCUGUGAACGCUUAUCCGUGCACUCGCCCACUUUCUUUUGGGUGGUUUGCUUUUUUCUUGAUGAUUUGCAGGAUUAUUUACUUAUCCGAGGUACAAUUCCUUCAUCAGUUGCAAGAACUGCCAAGACCUCUUCCGGUUUGUGGCUUGCCAUUUGACUUUGUGUAUCGUGUCUGGGAAUGGCCAGAAGUUUUUACUAUUAAUGUACUCAAAUUGAUCAUCUUUUUCUUUGGUGCCAUUGACUUUUUAGCAACAUGGCUCUUUGUCCAAAAGAAGCCACAUAUGGAUCCCAACAUAGAAUGCCCUCCCCCUUACAGGGCCAAUUUUUUUCCUUAAAGAAAAUUUCUUGGGCAAAUUAUCAUAAACCAAAGACCUCAUGGCCAUGGAGAUUAAUGUUACACAUUUUCAGUAGUUAAUAAAAUAAACAUAUAGUGCUCAGUGCUUUAAUAAUUGAAUCUUUUGCAACAAGAACAAAACCCAGAAAGGUUAAGAGAAACAAAAUCAGUGACAGUAUGGCAAACGCCACCCAAGGGUGCCAGUGCACGGUCACAACCUGGUCAGCACACGCUGCGAGGCCGGGCUCCAGGAUGGCUCUCCUCUGUAGCCGCUUUUUUAUUCUUCCAGAUAAAAUUAAAUUGAUUCCCUUUACAAAAUGAUUCUUUGCUUUGCAAAGUAAUUUCAGAAUAUUGGUAAAUAACAAGUUCUGGUUAUGCACUUAAAAUGCAGAUAUAUUUUUAAUCUAAGUUUCCAAGGAAAGUAACUUAGUAAAGCUUAGUACUUGCCUUAAAUAACCAAUGUAGAAACAACACCAAAUUCACAGUAUUUGGAAUGUUAUAGGACCUUGGAAUAUUUCAAUCCAAUUUCCUCAUUUUAUGAAAGAGGGAACUUCUGGAAAGAUCCAGCUUCUGGAGAUCUCGAGAUGGGGAAACCCACAGCAGGCUUCCAGAAGAUGAAGAGCUGCCUGGAAGCAGAGGGACGUAGGAAGUGAAGCCCCUCCACUUAGAUAGGCUGCUCCACGUGGACGGCUGCACGCAGUCUGAGACCUAGAUCCAGGGACCAGUCCCUGCGGGUGCCUGACCUCCUGCCCCCUGGGCCCUGCUCGUGGGCCUGGCUUGGCAGGCCACCUGUGCCCAGUGCCCUUUGAGCCUGCCCUGCCUCACCUCCUCGACCUUCCCAGCAGCAGCGGGGCCCCAGCAGGAGGAGAUGAAAUGACACCUCAGACCUGGUCCCGGAUGUUACCCAACCAAGUUUGUUUUGCCGGCUGCAUGAUUACCACACUCACCGAGCCACCGAGUUUGCAAAGAGAAAGGAUUUCAUCACAAGACAGGCAAGCGAGGAGACAGGAAAAUCAAUCUCGGAUGGCCUCCCUGAAAAUAGGGACUCAGGGAUAUUUAUGGGGCAGGGGGCAAGGAUGUCUGAAGUGCGGGGAUAGAUGACUGGAGGUGAGGAGAGUGAGGUAAUUGACGAUCUGCGCAGGCGUAGUCCAGCUUCAUGGCUCCUCACAGGACACAUGUUCACAAGAUGGCCGCAUCACCAGGAUUUGAGGGUGGGGUUUUCAGCUCCUUGACAUCAAAAAGGUCACUUGCUGAGCACUUGCCCUGACCCGGCUGAUGGAUUGGUGGUCUCAACCGGCCUGAACUGGACAAGGGGCCUCAGUUCUCAAAAAAUCACUCAAUUCCUCAGUUGCUAAGAUGGUCAGUUGAACUGGUCCUGGAGGGCAGCAUCUACAUGGGUACUUCCUGGGAAAGCAGACACACAGGAGGGCUGGGGUGUCUGUCUAGAGAGAGGCUGUAAGGCCAAGCAGCGCAACCUCUGGGGACCAUCAGCCACCCUUAGAAUCCUAGUCCUGCCGCUUACUGUCUGUGUGACCUUAGACAAUGACCUUCGCUGCUCUGUGCCUCAGUUUCCCUCUCUGGGGGAGCAAAAUGAGACGGUGUUUUCUCUAGGGCUCUUCACAUAGUUCCUGGUGCCCUGUAAGUACUUGUAGGGGUCGGUAAUUAUGCUCUCACAGAGCAGGAUUGCCAGGGCUUUGCACACGGACCGGGCUCCCCGGGAGAGAGUGACUCCAGUGCCUGUCAUAGCAAGGGCCAACCCAGCCCCAGCCAGGCGGGCUCUCCAGAGACGGACGCCCCCAGGCUGACUCAUCCCACCCACAGCCCAGAGGUCUGCGCUCCUUCUCCUUCUCUCCCCUGCCCUGGCUUCAGCUCGGAUGUUGCCCGCCCCCCACCCUGACUCCCACCCCAGAGGGAGGGCAGAUCUAGCCCACCUCGAGCCCCUUCCUCUCUCCCCUCAGCCCAGGGUGAGGUGCGCACAGCCCGGUCUCUGGCAGGACUAACUCUAGUGGAGUCCAGAUGGUCCAUCCAAGCCGGGAAUGUUCAACUUCCUGUUUUGUUUUCCGCCGGCAGUUCUAAACCAGAACUUUCUUUCCCAUAAAAAGUAUUUCUUCAGGUUACUGACUCUGUCACGCCAGUCUGAAAACCAGGGAAAUUUGAGACAGUUUUUAUUUGGAUCAAAAUUAAAAUGAAGACCUGCCCAAGGAAGCAGCGGAGGUUUAAAGGCCUGGGCUGGCCCGGGAUGGGGUUCAAGGCCUCCCUGAGGCACUAGCCGGCUGCCUGGCUUGGGGCAAGGGGCUCAGGGCCUCACUCAGUUCCCUCCGGCUUAAACAGGAGUAAAGACUUCUUCACUAACGGCUUGUAGAGAUUAAACAAAGUGUUGCAGGAAACGGUUUCUAGCACACAGCCCCGUGUAGGAAAACACUCGACGUCCACAGAAACAAAACGUCUCCGGAGCCCACGCCCCACCGAGAUUUCAGAGCCCGGUCAGACCAGAGAGCAGGACGAAGUGAGAAGGAAAAAUUCAUGAGACAAAAUUCAGGAAUUUUCCACGUCUUUGGAAGAACCACGAUUUGGACAAAGAAUGUGAAAUAUUCACCAACCUAUAAGAUCACCAUGACUCAUGGAGAAUUUUCUGUGGGAACUUAAAAAAAUGGAUGUGAUGCAUAUUGCUAAGAGAAAGAAGCCACUCUGAGGAGGCUACCUACUAUAGGAUGCCAACUCUAUAACACCCUGGGAAAGGUCUAACCAGGGAGAAAGAAGUGUGAUGCAGUGGAAAGAAUAUUGGAUCAGGUGACAUGGAACCCUGACAGGUCAUCACCAAUAGCCAAGUGGCCCUGGGCAAGCCCUCGUCCUCUGAGCCUUGUUUCCUCAUCUUUGAAAGGAGGGCGUCAAGCUACGUCAUUGCUCAACUGUGAAACGCUCUGACUCUACUAGAACAUUUCGGAAGGAUGAACUAGUGAAAGUCAGAGCUUCUCAGGAAACAGCCCUGUGACUAAAGCUCGGGGAAUGUGCCCUGCAAGCAGUUUAGUUCCAGGAACACCAGAGAGUAUAGAAAAUGCCAAAUCUCCCGGCCCGGGUCACCUUGACCGGCUAAUUCCAAUUUCCUCCAAAUAUUACUCGGGAGGCAACAGCAACCGAAACACUAAACCGCCUCUGGUCCCCACCAGCUGGUGGGGGUUUCUUCCCUUCUUGGCUCGACCUAGGAACUCAUAUUUUAUUCAUGAAAACGGAGGCCCUGGGAGGCCUCGGCAUAAACAGGAUGUAAAUAUUUGCGGGUGGUGGGGGAGAGGUGGUACUUGAACAGAGGCUGUACAAAGUGGGGACCUCCAGGACAAUGCUCACUUGGGGCCCGCCCACCUGCAUCUCCUCUGUAGCUUGGGGAGGGGGGCACGUGCAGGCUGUACCCCAGAUGGAGAUGGAUUUGGGACUUCAGUGCCCUCCAAGUGAGUCCGGCUGUUGCCUAACCUUCUGCUGCAUCCCAUUUGCCUGUUUGUUGGGGACCCUUCAUCCCCCUUCCUCAGCCUGAGACUUCGAUUUCUGGCUCUUGCAGAAGUGCCCGGCCUGUCUCCAGCCCCUGCCCUCCCCUUCCGCACCUGGCCACUCCUGUUUCAGCUGUGUGGAGUUCCCCGCCAUCCCCAAACGGGCCCUUCUCACGGUGCUGUCCCUUUCCUUAUCUCCAGUUGCUCCGCCUGGCAUGAACUUCCCUCUGAGCUCUUCCACUGGUCUCUAAGACCCCUCCAGAUCUUUGCAGGGGCCACACCCUUUCUGGAACCCCGGCCACCUCAUCUCUUGGGCUCUCCAAGGAGAAUAACUCCUGCUCAGCUAUCAGGGCCUAGCCUGGGUGUCACUUCCUCCAGGAGACUGUCCCUGAUGCUUCCCACUCCAAAUCUGGGUUCAAAAUCUCCCCUCCCCCCACCCACAGCCUGAGCUGAAGCCCUUCCUCGUAUCCCACACUGAUAGGGCCCAGACUCUUCGGUCCUGUUCACUAAAUAAAUACUUUUUGAAUAAAGGAAUGGAUGGACGGAUGGAUAAAUGGAUGAAGACGUGACUCAAUUAACACCUGUGUCUGUGGCCAUGUCUGUUGCCACCACCCCCGGAUGGAACCCUACACUUCGGCGCAUCUGCUCCAAGGACAUCAGACCCUGUCUUUUAGUGCCUUACACAC